GACGCUGGCGGCGUGCCUAAUACAUGCAAGUCGAACGGUCUUUCUAUGGAAGCUUGCUUCCACUGAGAAGAUAGUGGCGAACGGGUGAGUAACACGUGGGUAACCUGCCCAUAAGAGGGGGGAUAACAUCCGGAAACGGGUGCUAAUACCGCAUAGUUUUCUUGAUCGCAUGAUUGAGAAAGGAAAGACGGCCUUUGUGCUGUCGCUUAUGGAUGGACCCGCGGCGUAUUAGUUAGUUGGUGAGGUAACGGCUCACCAAGACGAUGAUACGUAGCCGACCUGAGAGGGUGAUCGGCCACAUUGGGACUGAGACACGGCCCAAACUCCUACGGGAGGCAGCAGUAGGGAAUCUUCCGCAAUGGACGAAAGUCUGACGGAGCAACGCCGCGUGAGUGAAAGAAGGUUUUCGGAUCGUAAAACUCUGUUGUCAGAGAAGAACAAGUUGGAGAGUAACUGCUCCAGCCUUGACGGUAUCUGACCAGAAAGCCACGGCUAACUACGUGCCAGCCGCCGC
Molecule: ribosomal RNA, 514 nt
Filed under: uncultured bacterium
Lineage: Bacteria
Description: bacterial SSU rRNA
Rfam family: Bacterial small subunit ribosomal RNA
Source: RNAcentral